Long non-coding RNA from Topomyia yanbarensis, 590 nucleotides. RefSeq lists it as uncharacterized. The transcript is spliced from 3 exons. NCBI's taxonomy places the organism in Eukaryota, Metazoa, Arthropoda, Insecta, Diptera, Culicidae. The record is from RefSeq and is a predicted model, not a curated record.
CCUGUCAAUAUUUCGUAGUUUAGAAAUUCAAUAUUUCGAAUUUGAAUGCACACCCGAACAAAGCAAAUCAGCUCAACUAAUCUUGUCUCAACAUCCUGGAUAUGGCAAUCAGCCAACCAACAUUAAAUCGAUGCAACCGCAGCAGUACCAACAACUCCAAAUCCAGCAACAGCCAACAACCCCUCAAAAAAGGACCACAUAGCAAUUACUGCUCAAACGAACAACAGGAGUUUACGAAUGAUGGACACAUCGGAAAACAUUUCAUCGGUACAUUCUGCAUUAAAACUUGUCUGCCACUAUUUUUACCAGCGGUUGCCUUCCUGAUUUAGAGAAAUCUCAGUCAAGCACAAACGUCAUAUUCCUGCCUUGGUUCAUACCAGUUCCUUGCAUGAAAAUAUCACUGCCUCCACAGUGCUCGUGAGUCCAUUCCAGCAGCAGCAAGCAAUAACUAUUCGAGUGCUUAUCGCCAACAUUUCACAGCAAGCUCAGCAGCAGAACCACCUUCAACCAUAACUUCAGAAAAUUAAGAUUUCCUCCAGACCAUGACCAUCAUCCUAAAGCUUUAUUAUGGCAUCAAUAAUGUGGAACUG